GUCUACGUGAUGAUCAUAAAAUUUUCACGACGGUCUCCUGAGCCAUAUGCUUUGAUGACACUGCCUUUGACAAGGCCCCUUACUGAUU
RNAcentral lists this small nucleolar RNA (88 nucleotides) under Colletotrichum orchidophilum. RNAcentral describes it as "Small nucleolar RNA snR73". It matches the Rfam family "Small nucleolar RNA snR73". The record is from Rfam by way of RNAcentral. Lineage: Eukaryota; Fungi; Ascomycota; Sordariomycetes; Glomerellales; Glomerellaceae.